GCAGAGUAGGCGUAUGCGCGUUAAGUGCCGGCUGGACAGGGAGUUGCCAGCCAGACGAAAGCAAGUGCCGGAUGGGGGUACAUUUCCGGAACUUUCUGCGGUGCAUAGGCCGCAUCCCGCUGC
RNAcentral lists this non-coding RNA (123 nucleotides) under uncultured Enterocloster sp. RNAcentral's name for it is "THF riboswitch". It matches the Rfam family "THF (Tetrahydrofolate) riboswitch aptamer". From Rfam's summary of the family: THF riboswitch presents a pseudoknot that joins P1-P2 and the loop of P3 and two THF binding. The record is from RNAcentral. Lineage: Bacteria; Bacillati; Bacillota; Clostridia; Lachnospirales; Lachnospiraceae.